This 530-nucleotide ribosomal RNA is filed under the name uncultured bacterium. Its description in RNAcentral is "partial 16S ribosomal RNA". It matches the Rfam family "Bacterial small subunit ribosomal RNA", at positions 28 to 523 of the family's 1533-position model. The record is from RNAcentral.
GACGAACGCUGGCGGCGUGCCUAAUACAUGCAAGUCGAACGAACUCUGGUAAUGAUUGGUGCUUGCAUCAUGAAUUACAUUUGAGUGAGUGGCGAACUGGUGAGUAACACGUGGGAAACCUGCCCAGAAGCGGGGGAUAACACCUGGAAACAGAUGCUAAUACCGCAUAACAACUUGGACCGCAUGGUCCGAGUUUGAAAGAUGGCUUCGGCUGUCACUUUUGGAUGGUCCCGCGGCGUAUUAGCUAGAUGGUGAGGUAACGGCUCACCAUGGCAAUGAUACGUAGCCGACCUGAGAGGGUAAUCGGCCACAUUGGGACUGAGACACGGCCCAAACUCCUACGGGAGGCAGCAGUAGGGAAUCUUCCACAAUGGACGAAAGUCUGAUGGAGCAACGCCGCGUGAGUGAAGAAGGGUUUCGGCUCGUAAAACUCUGUUGUUAAAGAAGAACAUAUCUGAGAGUAACUGUUCAGGUAUUGACGGUAUUUAACCAGAAAGCCACGGCUCACUACGUGCCAGCCGCCGCAGUAA